RNAcentral lists this ribosomal RNA (482 nucleotides) under uncultured bacterium. RNAcentral describes it as "partial 16S ribosomal RNA". It matches the Rfam family "Bacterial small subunit ribosomal RNA", at positions 30 to 507 of the family's 1533-position model. The record is from RNAcentral.
AUUGAACGCUGGCGGCAUGCUUUACACAUGCAAGUCGAACGGUAACAGGCCGCAAGGUGCUGACGAGUGGCGAACGGGUGAGUAAUGCAUCGGAACGUGCCCAGUCGUGGGGGAUAACUACUCGAAAGAGUAGCUAAUACCGCAUACGAUCUAUGGAUGAGAGCGGGGGACCGUAAGGCCUCGCGCGAUUGGAGCGGCCGAUGUCAGAUUAGGUAGUUGGUGGGGUAAAGGCUCACCAAGCCAACGAUCUGUAGCUGGUCUGAGAGGACGACCAGCCACACUGGGACUGAGACACGGCCCAGACUCCUACGGGAGGCAGCAGUGGGGAAUUUUGGACAAUGGGCGCAAGCCUGAUCCAGCAAUGCCGCGUGCAGGAAGAAGGCCUUCGGGCUGUAAACUGCUUUUGUACGGAACGAAACGGCUCUGGUUAAUACCCGGGGCUAAUGACGGUACCGUAAGAAUAAGCACCGGCUAACUACGUG